RNAcentral lists this ribosomal RNA (456 nucleotides) under uncultured bacterium. Its description in RNAcentral is "bacterial SSU rRNA". It matches the Rfam family "Bacterial small subunit ribosomal RNA", at positions 183 to 656 of the family's 1533-position model. The record is from RNAcentral.
UUUCUCAUUAUAAUUUGAGUUGGGAAAGUUUUUCGCUAAGAGAUCGGUCUAUAUCCCAUCAGGUAGUUGGUAGUGUAAGAGACUACCAAGCCAAUGACGGGUAGCGGGUUUGAGAGGAUGAUCCGCCACACUGGUACUGAGACACGGACCAGACUCCUACGGGAGGCAGCAGUGAGGAAUAUUGCACAAUGGAGGAAACUCUGAUGCAGCAACGCCGCGUGGAGGAUGACGCAUUUCGGUGUGUAAACUCCUUUUAUAGGUCAAGAAAAUGACGGUAGCCUAUGAAUAAGCACCGGCUAACUCCGUGCCAGCAGCCGCGGUAAUACGGAGGGUGCAAGCGUUAUUCGGAAUCACUGGGCGUAAAGGACACGUAGGCGGGAAGCCAAGUCUGAUGUGAAAUCCUAUGGCUCAACCAUAGAACUGCAUUGGAAACUGGUUACCUAGAGUAUGGGAGGG